Long non-coding RNA from Drosophila sechellia, 1833 nucleotides. RefSeq lists it as uncharacterized. The record is from RefSeq and is a predicted model, not a curated record. NCBI's taxonomy places the organism in Eukaryota, Metazoa, Arthropoda, Insecta, Diptera, Drosophilidae. The transcript has 3 exons.
UUGUCUGUGUGCCAGUGUCACUUCUUCAGUUGCCGCUGACAGGGCGACAGAUUCCAACCGGAAGUCGAGGGAGUCGGAAGGAAGUGCCUUUGUGGCUCCUCGCCGAGACAGUGUCAAAAGUUUAACUUUAGAUUUAUUUGCCAUUUAAUGCCGCUGCUCCCAUUCCCAGAACUGCAGCACGGCCAGGAGUUAUAGCGGAGUUGUAAAUCUCUCAGCUGUCUAAGCAGGUCAAUGCUCAGACAACAGCCCCACCAAGAGACUGCAUUUGCCUUCCACAAUGCAAUUGCAGCAGGAUCCCCGCCCACACAGCUGUCCGCAUAAAGGACAUUCAGGACUAGUGUGAGGUAGGCAUAAAAAUCGGAACCAUCUGGCAGCCCCGGCAACUCACGUGCAUUAUCUGUGGCUCGUUGAGCCUGUGAAAUGCAACAAGAGCAGUGCCUCGCCAUCUGAGUGCUCUCUCUCUCUCUCUCGGAGGACUCGUUCCUUGCUCUUUGCAGAGAUUCGUAUAAGAAGUGAGCAGAGGAGAGGAGAGCAGGGCAGAGGAGAGCAGCACAGCAGCAACCACAGACACUGUUACGGGAUCCGCGUUUUGGCCAGGACGAAGCGAGCGUGGCGACGAAAGGCAGCCAAUGGCUUCGAUUGGGAGCCAGUCAAACAUGGUCCAUCGACGGGAGAUGAACAGCACCGAGAGCAGCAUCCGCCAGCAGAUUCGCAAGCCAGUUCGCUGCCAGAAGCCAAAACCCAAGGCAAAGCCAGCCGAACCGGGCCAAUUCUAGGGGAACGCGAGUUUGUGAAGGUAGUGAGGUGAAACAAACGUGGAUGUGAGUCAGACGAGUCGCGCGGGAUGGCUAAGAAACAAUAGAUACGAGUAUGCCCGGACUGUAAAUGCCUUUUCAAAAGUGCCAGAAACACAUGUACAUAGAGUAAGGCGAAGCUGGAAACAGAACAUAAAGGAUAUUAUGUUGCUGCCAAAAUGAGUAGAAAGUUUGCAAAAAAUCGCCCCGAAAAUAAGCCAACAGCACAACCCGAGAAGUGAAACUGAAAAAGUGUUUUCCUCCACUAAACUUAACUAAGAGCGGCACCACAAUAAGAAAAUCAUAAUGAUGAUGGAUUAACUGAUCCCAGUUGUUGUUCAUGUUGUGCGAGUGAGACAGCGCGAGUGUGGGAGGAGCACCGGAAGUGGCAGCAGCAGCAGCAGCAUCAGCACCGCAGCAACAUUGCAGCAGCAGCAGCAACAGCGAAGGCGAAAUCAGGUUAGUAGAGGCUAGUUCUGGCCAACUUUUGCCGUUUUCCCGUUCUUCUCGUGGUCGCAUACCGUUUUUUUUCCGGCUUUGUGGGCCACUCAGCGACCACAGCUUGUGUAAAUCAUAAUUUAUGCAUUAAUAAUUAAAAUAUACACACAUAAAAAUAUCCGCACAGGCGGCUGCCGUCGGCGAGUGGGAAAGGUCAUUAAUCUUGGACAGCUUACACGGAGUUUCUGGGGGUCAGUACAUGGGAAAUUAUGAGCGAAAUUAGGUACGUGGCCAAAGAAACAAAGAACUGGUGAACUGGUGGUCCUUGGAGUGGGAGGAAUCCGCUUGUGCCCCCAUUUAAUUGAAAGAUGGUGAGCUGGUAAGGCUGCUUGCCACUCGCAGAAUCCCUGGUCUGAAAUUUUCAUGAGAAAUCAUGGCAGAAAUAGAAAUUCUAAUUGCUGCGAGGAAUUUCAAUUCCGAAAACUUUGGCAAAAUCCAACUGAAAUUGACAGCAGCUAUGUUGCCAUUUCGCAACGAAGGUUCGCCUCGUUUAGCCCCAAAUUCCAACGAACACUUUCAUCUGGGAAUCCCUGAGUCCUGG